Long non-coding RNA from Megalobrama amblycephala (Wuchang bream), 1251 nucleotides. RefSeq lists it as uncharacterized. The transcript is spliced from 2 exons. The record is from RefSeq and is a predicted model, not a curated record. Lineage: Eukaryota; Metazoa; Chordata; Actinopteri; Cypriniformes; Xenocyprididae.
UUUUUCAUUAUCGAUUAAGGUUAGCGUGUGAGGCUAAAUUUAAUUGUAAUGAAUAAAUAAUUUUUCAUCAACUUUAUCAUCUGCCUGGAUCUCAUUUUGCCAAGUUUCUGCAUCAGCUUAUAUGAUAUUUUCUACACUGGAUGCGCUGUGGAAGACAGCUUCCAGAAUCUACAUGAGUUCAGUGCUGGAUUUGCACAAAGGCUUUUACUGAAAGAAGCAGUUCCCACUUUAAAAGCAGAAGCUACUGUUUAUGGGCAUCAAACUGGAGCGGAAGAAGCAGAAGCAUGAAGUCAGGGGUGAGUCAAGAUGGCGGUAGGUGAAGACGAUCUUUUUUAAGUGGAGUUACGUUUUCCGUUUUUUACCCUUCUAACAUAAUUUUUUUUAUUAUGAAUUGACGACAAACAAUAUAUUUUAUGAACUGUGUGUUUAAUUGUUGAACUCUAUCUACUUUUACACUGUGAAUAUCAAGAAGUUUUAACUGAACUGAACUGAGUUGGCCUUUACCUUAGCCAUGGCGGGGCCAUGAUUGAUUUGUAUAACUUAAUUAACGAGAGAUUGGACAGAAUUGAAUUGAAAAGUCUCCGAAAAUGCUGUGCUAGUCGAAGAUUUGCAGGAGAAAGUGGACUGCAUAUACAACGAAGUGGGCAGCUUUCACAUUGAAAUGGACGUUCACAAACAGAAACAUGAAGCUUAUGAACAGAAAAUUGCGAAAUUAGAAGAGAGACUGUCCGACACAGAACAUUAUGCAAGGAGGUGGGGCUGUCGGAGAAUAGCAAAGAGGAUGUCAAAGCCAGAGUCAAGGAGGUGUUAUUAACAUCAUCACGAGCACAGUUGAUGUGGCUCAUCGACUGUGGCUCAUCGACUGGGCAGGCUUAAUAGUGAGAACCAGCGAGCCAGGCCUGUGAUCAUUCGAUUCAUUUCACGAUCUGAGAAAGAUAUUUUCUGGAGAGCAGCAAAAAACAGCGAAUACUUGAAGACCAGCAAGUUGCAAUUCAAGGAGGAUUUGGUGCCCACUGACAGAGCAUCGAGACAAAAGCUGUGUCUCAUUUCAUUUCAUUUCGAAGGCUGCAUCCUCAAGAGGACAAAUCCUGUGAACCGGGAAUUGUUUGUUCUACUUGGUAAACGAGUUUAUAGCAGUUGUUCAAGUUAUCUCUAAUCUCUAAAAGUCUUUUUCAUUAGUUUCUCUUAAUGUUGGGGGCAUCUGUGAUAUAAAUAAAAGAAAGGCUGUGUUUUUGUUUUUGAAAGAUAAAA